RNAcentral lists this transfer RNA (67 nucleotides) under Anguilla anguilla (European eel). It matches the Rfam family "tRNA". Rfam says of the family: Transfer RNA (tRNA) molecules are approximately 80 nucleotides in length. Their secondary structure includes four short double-helical elements and three loops (D, anti-codon, and T loops). Lineage: Eukaryota; Metazoa; Chordata; Actinopteri; Anguilliformes; Anguillidae. The record is from Rfam by way of RNAcentral.
GCAUUGGUGGUUCAGUGGUAGAAUUCUCGCCUGCCACGCGGAGGCCCGGUCAUUCCCGGCCAAUGCA